UCAAAUUUUCUCUGCAACUCAAACCAUCUCCCACUCCCUCUUCUCUGUGCUACAUCUCACUGCUUCAAUCUUUCUCUAUUCAGACUUUGGAAGGACCAGCCAACAUGACUCUCUGCAACUCCUCCCUCAGCUUCCAUCCUCCUAGGUUAAACGGAAGAAUUCUGCUCUCUUGCUAUCCAUUGACUCCAUCAAUCUAGUUCUUGGUAAAAGGAUAAACGUGCAGGUGAGGAUACACCCUCCGGGAUGUGAGAUGAUUGCAUUAGACGUACCAAUAGCAUAUGUGACCCCUUUUCUUUCUUUUGUUUAGCUGAUCGGGUAUUUUUGUAAUUCCUUUAGUCGUGUAUGGGCAAUAUAGGUUGAUCAAUGUACUUAUGGUUAUUUUUGAGGAUGACUGUAUUGUAUU
Molecule: long non-coding RNA, 403 nt
Organism: Vigna unguiculata (cowpea)
Lineage: Eukaryota; Viridiplantae; Streptophyta; Magnoliopsida; Fabales; Fabaceae
Source: RefSeq, a predicted model, not a curated record